UUUUCCUACGGGGGGCAGCAGUGAGGAAUAUUGGUCAAUGGGCGGUAGCCUGAACCAGCCAAGUAGCGUGAAGGAUGAAGGUUCUAUGGAUUGUAAACUUCUUUUAUAAAGGAAUAAAGUGAGGCACGUGUGCCUUUUUGUAUGUACUUUAUGAAUAAGGAUCGGCUAACUCCGUGCCAGCAGCCGCGGUAAUACGGAGGAUCCGAGCGUUAUCCGGAUUUAUUGGGUUUAAAGGGUGCGCAGGCGGAAGAUCAAGUCAGCGGUAAAAUUGAGAGGCUCAACCUCUUCGAGCCGUUGAAACUGGU
This 305-nucleotide ribosomal RNA is filed under the name uncultured bacterium. RNAcentral describes it as "bacterial SSU rRNA". It matches the Rfam family "Bacterial small subunit ribosomal RNA", at positions 334 to 637 of the family's 1533-position model. The record is from RNAcentral.